GAUGGUGUAGCGCAAUGGUAGCGCGCCUGCUCUGCAGGAGGUCUGGGUUCGAUUCCCAGCACCAUCC
Non-coding RNA from Aphanomyces invadans, 67 nucleotides. NCBI's taxonomy places the organism in Eukaryota, Oomycota, Saprolegniomycetes, Saprolegniales, Verrucalvaceae. The record is from Rfam.